UUGAAAAACCUACUUAAGUAAAGUAAUGGGCGUAUUUGCGCUUUGUUACGUCACACCGCUGCUCUCCGGUGAUUUGUCUUUUAAUAACGCACGCAACGCUUGCCUUCACCCGUGGGACAAAACGCUUCAAAACGACGACGAUCGCUCGACAUGAGACCAACCGUGUUAAGUCCCCACAUUCCCUAAAUAGGGGGGCGUGCGCAGCGUGUUGCGAAUUGACUCAGCACGGCAAACGGAGGCAACUCGGGGCAACUGCCCCAGAGGGGGGUCUGCGGAGCGGGAAGCAGCGGGGCAGGGGAGCGGGGUGCUGGGAUGGCGGUGACGGGGGACAGCGGGACCCGUUGCCCCAGAAACAGGAGAUGCAGCGAUUCGGUGGAAAGUGUCGACGGCGUUCUCCCUACCCCGCAACACCCCCCUUCCCCGCUCCUCUAUUCUCUCUCACACUCUUCCUCCUCUUCCUCUCUGCUUUUAUUAUCUCAGAUUUAAUAAAGGCAAGGCGAGCAGCUUGUUCUGCCAUGAAACAUU
Hippocampus comes (tiger tail seahorse) is the source of this 525-nucleotide long non-coding RNA. RefSeq lists it as uncharacterized. NCBI's taxonomy places the organism in Eukaryota, Metazoa, Chordata, Actinopteri, Syngnathiformes, Syngnathidae. The transcript has 2 exons. The record is from RefSeq and is a predicted model, not a curated record.